Molecule: long non-coding RNA, 2778 nt
Filed under: Malus domestica (apple)
Lineage: Eukaryota; Viridiplantae; Streptophyta; Magnoliopsida; Rosales; Rosaceae
Description: long non-coding RNA (MDOM_LNC013141)
Source: RNAcentral
GUCUAAGGACUUUUCUCCUUCUCUUUGCCGCAACAACAAGGUUGGAAUGAUGUUGAAGGGUUGGUUAUUUGGAGGAAUGGAUGGGAAGGGGUUUAGAUAUGUAGGAGAGGCAAGGAAAGGCUUGGAGAAUGGUUAAUUUCUGGAUGAUUUGAAUGAGGUUGAUGCCAUGGUAUUUAUAGGAAAGAGGAUGGACUUGUUUUAACACAAAAUGUUGGUGGAAUUGAGUAGGUGAGCAUGGCAAAGAGUGGGAAUUGUUGGUGGGUUAGGUAUUGAGUCAUCCACUCACAUGUCAUGGUUAGCUAAGCAUUGCAUCAUCCACUCACAUGUCAUGGUGAGCUAAGCAUUGCAUCAUCCACUCACAUGUCAUGGUGAGUUAAGCAUUGCAUCAUUACUCAAAUUUCUGGUGGAGGUGGAAGUAAAAGCCACGACAUUGAUGUGUUUUGAGUGAAGUUUUGGCCAAUCCUUCUAGAAAUUUAUCCCUUCUUGCAACUUGUAUUUGUUUCACCAGAUUUUUAGCAUGUUCUUAGCCUCUUUUGUCUUCAAAUUCGUCCAUCCAUCUUGCUCAUAUCAUAUGUAAUCCAUUCCAAGCUCAAAACUGCUCCAAAAUGCACCAAAAUGCACCAAAAUGCACUUUCUUGCUACCUUAGCCCUUUGGACCUACAACACACGAAAAUGGCUUAAAAUACUAAAAUAACUAAGAACUAAUAACGUAAAUGCAAGAAAACUAGUUAACUAAGUCGCAUAAAUAUGCGUCUAUCACUUUUCUCCUUAGUCUAUGGGUUUUUCUCCCACCUUGGGUUUUACCAUAGCGAGGUUUUGUGAGUUUUACUUUUUAUGCAUUCUUCUGUUGAUUUGAGACUUGCAUUCGCUCUUUGUGCUAACGACUUCAUAAACUAUACUUACUUCAUCGCUGAAGACCUGAUGCGCCAUUUACUUGAGUAUUUACACACUCAAGGGGGAGUGUUGUGGUCCUAUUAGAUUAGGAAUGUGAUUGUGUAAAUCCUAGUAGUUCUAGGAAUAUCUCUUAUAUUCCUAUUAGGAGUUGAUUACCUAUUAAGAGUUGUAAUCCUAAAAGGGUAAGGAAUUAAGCUUCCCUAAUACUAUAAAUAAAGGCACAAUGGGGUGGAAUAGAACACAACCACAAUUACACAUUUCUCUCUUCUCUCUCUAUAUGCCGAACCCUCUCUAUUUCUCCAUAUGGCCUCCAUAAUUGUUUAGUAAUUUAUGCCUACAACAAUUGUUGUAUUAUUCGUCAAAAAAUAAACAAUAAUUUUGUUCGCUAUGAUUAAAACUAGAAAGUGUUUAAACAAAAAAAAUAAUCUCAAAAUUAACAAACAAAGGCAUACUUCUAGGGAUUUCUCACUUGCCACUUAGUACUAUGGUCUGGUGGAUUUCUCAUCACUAGUAACUAAUAGGUCUUAGGUUUGGUUCUCGCUAGAGGCGAAUUUGAACCACAUUAUUGUUAGCCCAUUGUGAGGCUUAGCCAACUCCACUACCCCCUUAAUGUAUAUUAUUUAUUCAUAAAAAAAAAAAUGCCUCACUUACACCCAAAGUCAAUUAGAUACCUAUCUUUUUUAUUUUAUCAGAAAACCAUCUUCAUUAAACAACAAGAGAGGGGAAACCCCUACAAAACGAUAGGCAAGACAUAGCCACCAAGUCCCCUAGAAAUACAUAUAAAAACUCCAAAACCUAUAAUAACGCAGAAAGACCUAAGAAAAUGAUAAUAAGGCUCGAAGCAGACGCUUAAGUCGCCAUUUUCAAGGAUUCCAAAGCCCAGUAGCACUCCUAAGGUGGACAAGGAAGGCCUUUAAUGGAAAGAACAUGCACAAGAGCAGAUAGGGGUCUACGUACCUAGACAGCCAGACACAUCCCUCGUAAACUUUACGAGGCAACCCAAUCAGCUGUCGAAUUGGCUUGGCGGGGGAUCCAACACCAUUUAGUAAAGCGAAAGCGGUGACGGAGAUUCCAAAUUUGACGAAUGAGUGGAAAAAUAGACCACCUAACAGGAUUUUUUCCACAGUUAAUACUCUUGGCUAGGACCUCAGAAUCGGAUUUGAAGAUCACCCAGGAGAUUUAUUUUGUAGAGCAGUUUUCAUGGCCAAGAUAGCUGCAUGAGCUUCCACUUAUAAAGGGGUAGCUGCAAAACCAGAGGCAUUCGCACCCGUAAUAAGAGACCCCUGAUCAUCCAUUAAGACCAUCCCAAGGACCAUACAGUGAGAAUCCUUCGACUACAGAGCCAGAAAUUUCUUCUAGUAGGGGCAACAAAAAACAACUAAGAAAACCUUAUUAUAGUAUGGUUAUAUGCAAUAUGAUAUUAAGGAUGGUUUCAAAUGAUGAUGUUGUAAUAAUAUGAGCAUAAGUAUGAAUCUAUGAACUUAGUUAUUGGUCUUGAGAUUGAAUGGGAAGUCUUAUUGGGAAUGGAUUUUGUAAUCCAUAUUACAUUGGACUAUUAUUUAAGGGAUUAGUUUCCUAUAAGGAUUCUAAUAGAGGAAUCCUUAUGGGAUUUGGCAAGGAUUAUGUUAUGUAUAUAUAGUGGCCUCUGCUCUCACAAUUGAUAUGCUCGAUUACAAACUAAGAUCUAUUAUUAGUUAAGAGCAAAACCGAUUAUUGGAGAGAGGAGAAGGUGCACUGCAACCUUACAGCGAAACUUGGUCAUGCCUGCUUCUUCGAGUUCAUCUGUAGGUAUGAUCUUCUCCGUACAUUAGUUUAAUGAACAUCAAUUUGUGUUUUGAUCACAGUAAUUCAUAUUACUUGUUCUUGGUUUGUGUUUCAUCUAAC